AUUGAACGCUGGCGGCAGGCCUAACACAUGCAAGUCGAACGAGUGGCGGACGGGUGAGUAAUGUCUGGGAAACUGCCCGAUGGAGGGGGAUAACUACUGGAAACGGUAGCUAAUACCGCAUACCAUCGGAUGUGCCCAGAGGGGAUUAGCUUGGAGGUGAGGUAACGGCUCAACUAGGCGACGAUCCCUAGCUGGUCUGAUAGGAUGACCAGCCACACUGGAACUGAGACACGGUCAACACGCCUACGGGAGGCAGCAGUGGGGAAUAUUGCGUAAUGGGGGCAAUCCUGAUGCAGCCAGGCCGCGUGUAUGAAGAAGGCCUUCGGUUGGUAAAGUACUUUCAGCGGGGAGGCGUUACCCGAAGAAGAAGCACCGGCUAACUCCGUGCCAGCAGCCGCGGUAAUAC
This 406-nucleotide ribosomal RNA is filed under the name uncultured bacterium. RNAcentral describes it as "partial 16S ribosomal RNA". It matches the Rfam family "Bacterial small subunit ribosomal RNA", at positions 30 to 526 of the family's 1533-position model. The record is from RNAcentral.